GUGUGCUAGAUGGGGAGUUAGCGGUGCCCUGUUACCCGGAAUCCGAUAUACCGGGAUUGAAUCCCCACCUGCGGCCUGUCCCGUCAGUAGCGCGGAAAAGGUAAGCAGUGAUGAUGGCCGGGUCCUGUACAAUACGGACGCGCCGAACCCCGCCAGGACCGGAAGGUAGCAACGGUAGGCGAUGAUCGGUAUGUGUUGCGGGGCAGCCUGGUCGGAGCCGGCUGCCCUGGAAACCUUCGGGCGGAGGGACAACGGUGGGUGCACAC
RNAcentral lists this signal recognition particle RNA (266 nucleotides) under Candidatus Zixiibacteriota bacterium. Its description in RNAcentral is "signal recognition particle sRNA large type". It matches the Rfam family "Bacterial large signal recognition particle RNA". From Rfam's summary of the family: The signal recognition particle (SRP) is a universally conserved ribonucleoprotein involved in the co-translational targeting of proteins to membranes. Archaeal SRP consists of a 7S RNA and homologues of the eukaryotic SRP19 and SRP54 proteins. In most bacteria, the SRP consists of a 4.5S RNA and the Ffh protein (a homologue of the eukaryotic SRP54 protein). Lineage: Bacteria; Pseudomonadati; Candidatus Zixiibacteriota. The record is from RNAcentral.